AGUCGAGAGGGUUCGGCCCUCGGCUGACGGCUCAGUAACACGUGGAUAAUCUGCCCUAAGGUGGAGGAUAACCUCGGGAAACUGAGAAUAAUACUCCAUAAGUCUAAGAUGCUGGAAUGCACUUAGGCUGAAAACUUCGGUGCCUUAGGAUGAGUCUGCGGACUAUCAGGUUGUAGUCAGGGUAAAGACCUGACUAGCCUACGACGGAUACGGGUUGUGAGAGCAAUAACCCGGAGAUGAUAUCUGAGACACGAUAUCAGGCCCUACGGGGCGCAGCAGGCGCGAAAACUUCGCACUGCGCGAAAGCGCGACGAGGGGAUCCCAAGUGUAUGCACGUAAGUGUAUACUGUUUCUCUGUCUAAAAAGCAGAGAGAGUAAGAGCUGGGUAAGACGGGUGCCAGCCGCCGCGGUAAUACCUGCAGCUCAAGUGGUGAUCGUUAUUAUUGGGCCUAAAACGUCCGUAGCCGGUCUUGUAAAUGCCUGGGUAAAUCGUAUGGCUUAACCAUACGAAUUCCGGGUAGACUGUUAGACUUGAGACCGGGAGAGGCUAGAGGUACUCCUGGGGUAGAGGUGAAAUUCUGUAAUCCUGGGGGGACCACCAGUGGCGAAGGCGUCUAGCUAGAACGGGUCUGACGGUGAGGGACGAAGCCCUGGGGCGCAACGGGAUU
This 668-nucleotide ribosomal RNA is filed under the name uncultured archaeon. RNAcentral's name for it is "bacterial SSU rRNA". It matches the Rfam family "Archaeal small subunit ribosomal RNA", at positions 56 to 730 of the family's 1478-position model. The record is from RNAcentral.